UCUGCAGUUGGCAGUGCACCUAUUGAUGAUUGCUCUCCACCGAAGACCAAAGGUGAAAACUGGGGUAUUGAAUGUGAUUCCAUGUUUAGCCUAUCACACGAGUAUGAGUCUAAAUCUCCUAGGGAUAGGUCACAAACCCUGAAUCAUUGUGAUAAAUCAUAUUUGAAGUCUAGCCUUGCUAUGAACAAGCUAAGAGACAGUUAAGUGCUCAAUGAUUUCAUCAACAAAGCUUCACCUAAAAUCACUUUGGAAGAGGAAAUCGGACCCUGAUCUGAGAACAUCAAGCAUUCCUAUUUUGGUAUCUGAUAUGGAAUCAAUUAAUCAGCGAAUCUACAAUAUAACUUGUGAAAGUAUUCCUGCUCAAGGGAUUUGGUGUAAAGAUGAUGGAUGUGUAUUCAAAACUAUCUUCUGCCCCUUUUGUGCCAACCCCAACAAUUGUCUUGGAGUACAGGUCAUGGCUGCUGAUGCAUCAAAUGUCCAAUUUCUGAACAAGAUACUAUUUUAUUCUGAUUCCCUCUUGAUAAAGGCAGCUGAAACAUCAACAAUGGAUUCGUGAAAGGCCGGAGCAUUCAAUUAAGACAAUGUGUUGCUAGCCUACGAAUUACUUGGCGACGUAUGUAAGAGGUAGAAGAUUUUGUAGAGGAAAACACAAUUCAAGUUGCUGGCGACCUGGUUUGGAUGUCUUCCU
Molecule: long non-coding RNA, 688 nt
Organism: Ipomoea triloba (trilobed morning glory)
Lineage: Eukaryota; Viridiplantae; Streptophyta; Magnoliopsida; Solanales; Convolvulaceae
Exons: 3
Source: RefSeq, a predicted model, not a curated record